UUGGGUGAUUUUAAUGAAAUUUUACUUUCUUCUGAAAAAGAGGGCGGUAAUGCUAGACCUAACGCUAUGAUGAGAGAUUUUCGUAAUUGUUUGCAAGAGUGCGGUCUAGAGGAUAUGGGAUGUAUUGGCGAUCUAUUCACUUGGAGAAGAGGUGAAAUUAGGGAGAGACUUGACCGUGAAGUUUGCAAUGUGGAUUGGGCGAAUAAAUUUCCUCGGGCUGCGAUUAUAAAUGAAGAACACGUACACUCUGAUCAUCGACCCCUCAUCCUGGAUACAGAUUACUUUGAUGUGAAUAUGUUUAAUCGCCCAAGGGUCGAGUAA
This 321-nucleotide ribosomal RNA is filed under the name Triticum aestivum (bread wheat). RNAcentral's name for it is "partial small subunit ribosomal RNA". Lineage: Eukaryota; Viridiplantae; Streptophyta; Magnoliopsida; Poales; Poaceae. The record is from RNAcentral.